GUGGGGAAUUUUGGACAAUGGGCGAAAGCCUGAUCCAGCCAUGCCGCGUGUGUGAAGAAGGUCUUCGGAUUGUAAAGCACUUUAAGUUGGGAGGAAGGGCAGUAAGUUAAUACUUUGCUGUUUUGACGUUACCGACAGAAUAAGCACCGGCUAACUUCGUGCCAGCAGCCGCGGUAAUACGAAGGGUGCAAGCGUUAAUCGGAAUUACUGGGCGUAAAGCGCGCGUAGGUGGUUUUGUAAGUUGGAGGUGAAAUCCCCGGGCUCAACCUGGGAACUGCCUCCAAAACUGCAUGACUAGAGUACGGUAGAGGGUAGUGGAAUUUCCUGUGUAGCGGUGAAAUGCGUAGAUAUAGGAAGGAACACCAGUGGCGAAGGCGACUACCUGGACUGAUACUGACACUGAGGUGCGAAAGCGUGGGGAGCAAACAGGAUUAGAAACCCUGGUAGUCC
RNAcentral lists this ribosomal RNA (450 nucleotides) under uncultured bacterium. RNAcentral's name for it is "partial 16S ribosomal RNA". It matches the Rfam family "Bacterial small subunit ribosomal RNA", at positions 354 to 796 of the family's 1533-position model. The record is from RNAcentral.